RNAcentral lists this ribosomal RNA (265 nucleotides) under uncultured bacterium. RNAcentral's name for it is "partial 16S ribosomal RNA". It matches the Rfam family "Bacterial small subunit ribosomal RNA", at positions 57 to 305 of the family's 1533-position model. The record is from RNAcentral.
GCAAGUCGAGCGAGAAGUAUUAGAUGAAUUCUUCGGAUGAAACCUAAAACGGAAAGCGGCGGACGGGUGAGUAACGCGUAGGCAACCUGCCUCACACAAAGGGAUAGCUUCUGGAAACGGAAAUUAAUACCUUAUAAAACCUUAGGUUCACAUGAACUAAAGGUCAAAGAUUUAUCGGUGUGAGAUGGGCCUGCGUCUGAUUAGCUAGUUGGUAGGGUAACGGCCUACCAAGGCGACGAUCAGUAGCCGACCUGAGAGGGUGAUC